GAAUUUUUAUUAAAAUUUUGUUGCAACAAAAAAUAAGUUAAAACCAAAUUUAAAGAAAUAAAGAAAAAGGUUAGGGGAUAUUUUUGUAAUUAAGCUGUUUGUUUUUUUUUUUCGGUUCUGAUUCUGGUGUUUUUGCUGAACAAUUUAACUUAAUCUACAGUCUGUGGGUUUCUUUUGCAGGAGAUUCGGCGGGUUGAUCGUUUCACGGGGAUAUCAUCAUCGGCGUGAUCUUCGCCGCCUGUGACACCACCGCCAGUGUUUUAACUAGGAUUCUAAAGAAUUUGGGGGGGAAAACCCAAUUGUUCUGCAAGCCGUGACUGAAGAACAAGAAGGCAUGAAGAAGAGUAAAGAUAAAGAUGGUGAAGAGAAAGACAGGUUGCAGAAACACUUGGGUUUUCCCUCAGAUACUUGACAAUUCAAGUUGAAACACUUGCGGUGGUGUCACCAGCGGCGAAGAUAACGCCGAUUACGUUACCGACGUCGGUUAGUCCUUCUUUUAUCCCCCAUGAAAGAUCCAAACAAGUCAUUAUGAUCAAGCUUCAUUUGAUGCCUGGUAGAGAGGAUUUGGGUCAAAAUCUGAGCAACCUCUUUUCUUUCUUUCUUUUUUUCUUUAGCUUGAUUAAAUUUCGUCUUCACCAACCAUUUUCUAGCCAUUCACCACCAUCACAAUCAAGAUCUUUUUAUUCAUGACUCCGUCUUUCAACCUUUCUGCUACCUGGGAGUCUCAAAAUGAAUAAGAACUACCGUUGUACAAAAGUAUGAUGACCUGUUUUCCUUCCAUCAAACCCCUGAUCUUUGCAGUCCCCCCCAGCUAAUACUCAUCAAUGCCUAAACGUAUAAUGUGGCUGUGCCUUCAGGCUCUUCUUCUGCCCGUAUUACCUCCUCCGCCUCCUUUUCCUCGGGUUCUUCCGUACACUCUUCUAAGGCUACCACCAACCUUGUAUCUACAUUGGUGAACCGGAAAGUACGGUUUCCAACAUUUAAGACAAGCAUUGGUGGGUCGUUUUUUGGUCAUUUGUGUGGGUAGAAGAGUUACAGUUGCAUGGACAACCUGGUUAUUCUUUUUUUAUGGGUAGUGUUAGUGAUGGUUUUUUCCACAGUGGGACAUGGGGAAGAGAAUAGUGUCUUGUUUUGGUGUGGAAGAAGGUUUGGGUGGAGAGAUAUAGGUGCUGACUGGUUUGGAUUUCUGAGCUAGAGGUAAUCUUUAGGCGGCUCUUUUGGAGUCCAAACAUGGCUCGGACAUAUUGUUCUUGGAGGAGGGCCUGUUCAAAGGCUAGAUUGAGGUUUUAAUUAAUCAUGGGGCGAAGUUCUUCGUUUAACCCGCUAUUGAGGCUUGAAAUGCACUUUAGAAUGGGGUUGUCUCUUAACAUUUGGGACCUUAAAAAUUUUCCAAAUGCUCUUUAUACUCCACCACCGAGACUUCUUGAGUGAGUUUAUUAAACUCCUCGACCAGGUCAGUAGGUUCCCCAAAACUUUGGUAUAGUUCUUCCACAAAAUCGUCUCAACAUUAGAGCUCAUUGUGAGUAAGCCAACCUUGAACAGAGCGGCCAAUGUUCCUUUACAACACCAUGCACCUGAAAAAACUUUGGGCAGCAUCUAGCCCAACCUUCUAGAUUGUCCCCCUUCGAAAAUGGGAACUUCUACCCUUGAAAAUAGAAUUUAAAUUAUCCCUCAGGGGAUCAGAGACCAUUACUACAACUUCCUACCUCCCUUUGUCUCGACGGAAAGAUUUCCAGUAGUGUGCGGUUGGUGGCAGUAGGAGAAGUUACCCAGGCUUCUGGCAUUGUUUGUUUGGCCAAUCUGUCCACCAGCUCUGACAAGCUCUCAGUUCUUGCUUCAAGUUCCGCUUGGCUCUGGAGCUGUUUUUCUUUCAGUUGUUGCCACAUGCCGAAACUAGAGUUGAGCCUGGGUUUUGUCACUCUGACUCAUGGAUGUCAUCAGUGAUUCAUUGCGUAGUUUCACAACCCUCUGUCAUAAACUCCUUAAACUUUUGGUCGUAGCCUCUCGUGGAGUCUUCCAUGUGCUGAAGGUAUUUGUUAUCAUUCUUUGUGGCCUUACCACGAGCCACAACUGCCUGGGAGAUAAGGGUAUCCUCAGAAUUGGAGAGCUCUGAUACUAAGUUGUAAAGAGCCUUGGACUUAGACAUAGACAAUAGAGAGAAUUUUGAGAGAGAGAGAGAGAGAGAGAGAGUACAUAAUCCAAAGAGGAGGACAUAAUCCAAAGAGGAGGCAGAUAAAUCAAGGAGAUUUUAUAAAAGAUUUGAGUAGGGUAUAGAAGAGUAGAAGAAACUAAGAGAAAUAGAAUUUCCAGAAUAAUCCUUUCUGGAUAAUGAAGGAUUUCGUUCAAAAAUCAUGCAUAAAUUUCCAUUCUAUUUCUUGACAGUACUGUCCUAUUUCUACUACCAAUUUGCAGAAAACAGUACACAGUAUAGAAUAUUUCUGAAAUUAAGGACAUAACUGUAAGGGGAAAGUGGAUAUGUAACUAAUCUCGUAUUUAGGCUAAUGACUACUACUAUGGCAUAUCUUCAAGGGGUUUUCCAUUGGGAGGUGGUCGCCUCCGGUAAACCUUCAUUGGUUUCACUAGUGGGGGGUUCUGCAUCUGCAACCUUGUAGGGAAGGUUGGUCCUAACAAUAAGUUGGAAGAUUGUUUCGGGCCAAAGGGUGAGUUUUUGGUCAGACAAAUGGCAUGGAAAUGGAAUUCUUGAACAAAGUCUUCCACCAAUUUUCUCCGUAGCAAGGAACAAAGAAGCAACAGUUGAAUAGUCUUGUUCAUAUGACAGGGCUAACGGAUCUUGGAUGGUCGAAUUGGUUAGAAACAUAAACGAUGGGGAAUAAUGAAUUUUUGGGCACGCAGAAAGACCAAAUGAAGCAUCGGAUGAGCCAUUUAGAAACCUAGUUCAAAAGCGGUUCUUUUAGUAAAAUCCUAUUAUCUCUAUUCCACAAAGGCCGAAAGAGUUGAGGUGAACUUUCCAUGGAAACUGAUUUGGGAAAUCAAAGCUUCACCUAGAGUAGAGUAGCCUUUUCUUGCAUGGGAGUGAAGUUAUAUCUAAACUCUGGAGCAUCUCAAAGAAAAAAAAAAGAAAAGAAAAAGUUUUGGUUAACAGAUGUUAUUUGUGUUAAGAAAGAUGCGAAGACAGGAAACUAUCCUCUAUGGUGUCCUUCGGCUUAUGGGCUUUGAUGAACUGUGCUAUUUGGCCACUUGUAGACCUUGGAUGUUAGCAACUCCACAAGUGGCGAAAUAACAUCUUAUGCCAAGGUGUAAUAGAAGAAGGAAGAAGAAUUCUGAAAUGAAUAAUUAAUUAUAUAUGCAUUAAAAGUAUUCUAGUUGUAGGAAUAUUAUGUAAGAAUUAUGUAGUUUUAUGCAUGGAGUAGAAGCAUUUAGUAGUCAGGGAACAGGGGGAUUAGACAAGAAGAUCGUUAAUAAUUUCUGGAAAUAACUACCAGAGUAACUAGUCUCUCAUUGUAAUAAAACAGACUAGUGUCUUUUCUGACAGAUUACAAAUAAAGAAUUAAUUUACAA
Carica papaya (papaya) is the source of this 3519-nucleotide long non-coding RNA. RefSeq lists it as uncharacterized. The record is from RefSeq and is a predicted model, not a curated record. Lineage: Eukaryota; Viridiplantae; Streptophyta; Magnoliopsida; Brassicales; Caricaceae.